This 2865-nucleotide long non-coding RNA is filed under the name Triticum aestivum (bread wheat). RNAcentral's name for it is "long non-coding RNA (TAES_LNC025289)". The record is from RNAcentral. Lineage: Eukaryota; Viridiplantae; Streptophyta; Magnoliopsida; Poales; Poaceae.
UCUUCUUCUUGGAGCCCUAGGUUGUGGCAAAACCCCCUAUUGCUAGCACUUGCAGGAAAGCUCAACCAAAACCAAAAGGUAUUUUUCUUUUUCUUCACUUCAACCAAGUCACUCAUGUACAAUGAGCAGCACUCAAACCACAAAAUCAUUUGCAUCUCAUUCAUUUUUCCGAAUGUUCAAUUUAUGACCUGGCUUUUUGGUCAUGGACAUUUCUUCAUUACUUACCAUUUUCUGAUGUUCAUGGUAAGGCGCGACCGUUGGUGGUUUUCUGGUGGUACCUCAAGGAGACCUUCUUCCCAGGUGACCCAUUCCACGUGGCGGUGCCGGUGUGUGAGCGAGCUGCCAGACCGCACGUGGCGGCGGCGCUUCGAUACUUCUUCCCGUUCCUGGAGUGGGCGCCAGCCUACGGGCUGGGCAACUCAAGUCGGACCUCAUCGCCGGUACUUCUUCUGGUUCCUUGAAGUUUGAUAUCCAUGCCCCCUUGUUAGAGCGGUGGAGAGAGAUGCGACAUGGAGUGAGGGAACUGUCGGCACCGGCAUAAGAGGUUGAUCUCCGCCCCGGUUUCCUCUAUGAUUACAUCAAGGAUGUAUUUUGUUGCUUGUUGGUUCUGUGUGCGGGAGCUCGAUGAUUGGGGGAGUUUAGAUCUGUGGUUUCAUUCUCAAAUUCUAUUCGUAUGGAUUGAGAUAGAGAUGAGAAGGUAGGUCCCUUAUUCAUGUAGGUUUUCUCUGUACCACUAAAUGUUUGUUUGAUUUUUUUCCAUGUAGGUUCUCUCUGAUUUUGCAUUAGUCUAUGAUCUUAGUCUUCAUUCUUUUAUUUUUAGUUUAUGAGAUUUCAGUAUUUGAUUCACUUAUUCUUGGUUUGGCAGAUAUUCAGUAUCUCUGUUCUUAUUAUUCAAUUUUUUUAUUUCUCAGAUUAGGAUUUUAGUACCUUUUCUUUUAUUAGUCAUCAGUUUUCUUCUUUAUUCAAUCAUAUUCAGCCUUAGUUCUUGUUCAGUCUUUCUUUAACUUCUUUUGUCCUUAGUCUCCAAUUUUCCUCUUUCUUCAGUCAUAUUCAGUCACACUUUGUUCAGUCUUUCAUUAUCUACUUCAGUCUGUAGUGCUCCUUGUGCAUAUAUACUUUGUUUUGCUCAUUCUUCUUUCUUAGCUUUGUUCUCUCAUUUUGUAUCGGCACAACCAAUAAUUCACAAGAUCAUCUAAUCCACAUAGGCAAAGGAAGAUUUUUCGUAGUAAAAUUCAGUAUAGUGGAGGGAAAGGAAGGUUUUUCGUUGUAAAAUUCACUACACUAGAGGGAAAAAGUUUCAAUGUUAUUAUCUAAUUGUUUCAUGGUUUUCUUAGUCAUGACUUUCUUUUCUCUACCAGCUUUAGGGGGAGGUCCAUCUAAUUUGACUUUGCCCUGGGCUGUCUGCAGGUGGGUUAAACAACCAGAUUUGGUGGAUUAGUUGGACUUGUAAAUAAUUUUUUCUGAUCCCAACACACUUUAUAUAGAGAAGUAGUAUUUCUUCAUAUUGUUACUUUUUUUGUUUGCUUUUGUGCUUAUUGCUCAUAUUGUUAAAUGUUUGUUGGGGCCAGUUCUUUUGGGCAAUUCUCCCAGAAUUGACCCCCUCCCCAGCUUCUCCCAGAAUUGCUACUCCAUCCUUUUUUACAAUUCCUAGCUAGUUAAGGUCUAAUUAGCUAGGAAUUGUAAAAAAAGAUGGAGUGGCAAUUCUGGGAGAAGCUGGGGAGGGGGUCAAUUCUGGGAGAAUUGCCCAAAAGAACUGGCCCUGACUCUUCUUUCUCUGGUCACCUUCAGUGCACAUGUUUCUUCAUUAUUUCAGUAACUACCUUCUCAUUGUUCCGCCUUCAUUUCUCAAAUCCAUGCUUAUCAGUUAUCCCUCUGUAUGCAUCAGUGAUCAAUAUUUCUCUUCAGCCUCAUUAUUUCUUUUCGAGAGUGCGCCAAAGGCUUACCUUAGCUUUAUAGAAGGAAGGAGUGAUAUUUACAAGUCAGCCUCAUUAUUUCAUUAAGUCCCUGCUCUACCCAGCCUUCAUAAAUUCAGUAUGCCCCUGUGCAUUAUGUAUAAAGACUUUUUUGAGCAUUCUUAUUUUUUAUCUUUUUGUUUCACCAGGAGGUUUUAUUACUAACCAGAGGAAGUUUCUUCUCCCACUUCGUUUUAGCGCAUGUUGUUUCAGAUGUGUUAUGUAAUAGUACUACAUAGAAGAGUUUUUUGCUUCAAGAAGUGUUAUGUAAUAGCAUAAAAACUACAUAAAUAGUUCGUUCUGUUCUGUUUUUUUUUCACUAGACAUUGAUGCUAUUUGUGCUCUUUAGCAGUGACACCAUAGUCAGUUAGCAUUUUCUGUCUUUUAGCUACACUGAGCCUUUGAUUUGUUUGUACCAUUAGGCUGUAGGGAAAUAUUACUAUAUGUAACAUGUAUUUUUUUUGUUCUUAUAAGAUGUUGUUUCUCAUUUCUGAAAUUUAUUUCUUGAUGCAGCUUCAUUCGGAUUUAUGUGAAUAUAAGCGUAAGAGGUCCACUGGGAAUGAUACAAAAUAAUUUCAGACGUGAGUAUCCGGAUCGCAUUGCUACUGGUCGUCUCUUGCGAUGGCGUACAGCGGGCUUUUGACAAAGCCAAGUCAUGGCCUCAUGAGGAUGCUUUUGGAUUAACUGUAGUGCAUUGUACCGUUUUAUGCUCCAUGCGAGAGUUGUACAUAUCCUCAUUAGAUGUACCCCUGCCUAUGAUGGUUCUGAACUCAAAUAUUAGAGUAUCUGUAUAUUUGAUCAAUGUGGUACUAUUAUAUCCUAAUGUUAUAACAUAUAUGCCCGUAUUGAUAUACAUGAGUGUGAUUAAGAACAAAACAUGGCAGCCCAAUGUGUUGAAACAAGAUAAGUGCGC